Molecule: RNA transcript, 1891 nt
Organism: Zingiber officinale
Lineage: Eukaryota; Viridiplantae; Streptophyta; Magnoliopsida; Zingiberales; Zingiberaceae
Exons: 9
Source: RefSeq, a predicted model, not a curated record
GAAAACCCUCGUGCCUUCCCUUUGCCCGAACCCUCCUACCUCUUCCCGUUUGCUCUCGUACGAUGGCGGCAAUCGCCACCAAGCUCAAGGCGCCGUGGUCUCGCCUCCUCUCCCUACGCUUACUUCCUUGUUCCCGCCCUAUCUACCGCCCGUAUUCCCCUUCGAUUCCUCAUCCCUUCACUGCCAACGCUGUACCCUCCACUCUGCUUUCCGUCCGCCGCUUCUCCGUGAACGCCAUUAAUGCCGACCGCGUCGUGCAAGAACUUCUGGCUGAGGUAGAGCGGGAGAAGCAGCGUGAACGGGAGGAGAGACAGAAAGCCGGCCUCCCACUCGACGAAGAAGAGGAGGACUAUAUGGGGGUGGGCCCGCUCAUCGAGAAGAUGGAAAAGAACAAGCAGAAGGAGCUCGAUGCCAUAGAUCAGUUCUGGGAGCCCACUGACUCGGAGAGCGAAGAUGAUGAGAGGUUCUCGCCUGAAGAGACCCAAAAGCGGUUGGAUGAGUUUGAGAAUAAGUGUAAACGGCAUUCUGAAUUGCUCAAGAACUUUGCCGAAGCAGAAACACUUGAUGAUGCACACAAAUGGAUGACUAAAAUUAACAAAUUCGAGCAGCGCCAUUUGAAACUACCCCUUGAGUAUAGAGUCAUUGGCGAUUUGAUGAAUCGUCUAAAGGAAACAACUGGAAAAGAAAGAUUCAUUCUCCUCCAAAAGUUAAAUCGAGCUAUUAGGAUGAUGGAAGUUAAGGAGGCAUAUGAUCCAAAUAAUCCUGCAAACUUUGGAGUUAUUCAACGUGAGCAAGUUGGUUCUCCUGAUGAGGUAGUAGACAAUGUUGGUUUCGAGAAGGAGAAAACAAUGAUACAAGGGGCAGACCUUGAGGAAGAUGAUGAAGAUUUCAGUGAAUCAAAGGAGAAAGAUGAUAUAUUUACCGAGAAGCUCAAUGCCAUUGAAAAGAAACUCGAAGAGAAGCUUGAAGAACUUGAUCAUACUUUUGGGAAGAAGGGCCGAGUAUUGGAAGAGGAAAUCAAAGAUCUGGUCGAGGAGAGAAAUUAUUUGACUGAGAGAAAGAGGAAACCUCUUUACAGGAAAGGAUUUGAUGUAAAGGUAAUCAAUGUUAAUCAGACAUGCAAAGUUACUAAGGCAGGGCGACUGAUGAAGUACACAGCACUGCUAGCCACUGGGAAUUACCAUGGAGUUAUUGGAUUUGCAAAAGCAAAAGGUCCAACAGCUACUAUUGCUAUCCAAAAGGCAUAUGAGAAAUGCUUCCAAAAUCUUCAUUAUGUCGAGCGCUACGAAGAUCACACCAUUGCUCAUGCUAUCCAAGCAAAAUACAAAAAAACAAAGUUAUACCUCUGGCCUGCUCCAAUGAAAAGUGGAAUGUCAGCCGCAGUCAAAAGUGUCGAAACUGUCCUCUGUUUGGCUGGGUUUUGCAAUGUCAAGACAAAGAUUAUUGGCUCGAGGAACCCCCUCAACGUAAUCAAGGUUCUUUUCAUAGCACUGAACGCUAUUGAAACUCCCAAGGAUAUCCAGGAGAAGUUCGGAAGAACUGUCGUAGAGACGUAUCUGCUGUAGAACUACCACGGCUAAGUUUCGGUGAACAAACUAUGCUGCCCUCAAAUUUUUGUGGCGCGCAAAUUUUUUUUAUUUUAAUCAUUCUCUGUUUGAACUGAAUAAACAUUGAAAAUUGUCACGCAGAAUAUAAAAGGUUAACUAGCCAAAGUGAACCACAAGUUAUUUUUGUGUAAGUCAUGAUCAAGAGAGCCAGCAACAUCUGAAGCCAAAUCCUCGCCGACGGCCGGAGGAGGCCGAGACUCGAGAGGUGGGUGACCAAGAAUAAAAUAAUCUUUCAUGUAUACUUGAAGGAUAACUAAUGGUUGGUAAAGGACUUGAAAAGUUGA